ACUUAUAUAAUUUAUAGAAGAAUAUUGCAUUGAAGCUGCAAAAGAAGCAAAAUUGCUUGUGAGUA
Molecule: transfer RNA, 65 nt
Filed under: Maja squinado (spiny spider crab)
Lineage: Eukaryota; Metazoa; Arthropoda; Malacostraca; Decapoda; Majidae
Also listed under: 1 other name
Description: tRNA-Phe
Source: RNAcentral